AGAGUUUGAUCCUGGCUCAGAUUGAACGCUGGCGGAAUGCUUUACACAUGCAAGUCGAACGGCAGCACGGGGGCAACCCUGGUGGCGAGUGGCGAACGGGUGAGUAAUACAUCGGAACGUGCCCAGUCGUGGGGGAUAACGUAGCGAAAGCUACGCUAAUACCGCAUACGAUCUGUGGAUGAAAGCGGGGGACCGCAAGGCCUCGCGCGAUUGGAGCGGCCGAUGGCAGAUUAGGUAGUUGGUGGGGUAAAGGCCUACCAAGCCGACGAUCUGUAGCUGGUCUGAGAGGACGACCAGCCACACUGGGACUGAGACACGGCCCAGACUCCUACGGGAGGCAGCAGUGGGGAAUUUUGGACAAUGGGCGCAAGCCUGAUCCAGCCAUUCCGCGUGCAGGAUGAAGGCCCUCGGGUUGUAAACUGCUUUUGUACGGAACGAAAAGGUGCUCUCUAAUACAGGGCGCUGAUGACGGUACCGUAAGAAUAAGCACCGGCUAACUACGUGCCAGCAGCCGCGGUAAUACGUAGGGUGCGAGCGUUAAUCGGAAUUACUGGGCGUAAAGCGUGCGCAGGCGGUUGUGUAAGACAGAUGUGAAAUCCCCGGGCUUAACCUGGGAACUGCAUUUGUGACUGCACGGCUGGAGUGCGGCAGAGGGGGAUGGAAUUCCGCGUGUAGCAGUGAAAUGCGUAGAUAUG
Molecule: ribosomal RNA, 695 nt
Filed under: uncultured beta proteobacterium
Lineage: Bacteria; Pseudomonadati; Pseudomonadota; Betaproteobacteria
Description: bacterial SSU rRNA
Rfam family: Bacterial small subunit ribosomal RNA
Source: RNAcentral